CAUCACUCAUCUGUAAAGCUCUUAUGCAUCAACAAGAAUCGUUAAAAUCUUGAUAGUUGGUUAGCUGGCUGUAUCAUUUACAAGAUUGACUAACUGGUCACAGUACAGUGACUACAAAAAUAUAA
This is a long non-coding RNA of Haliotis rubra (blacklip abalone), 125 nucleotides long. RefSeq lists it as uncharacterized. The record is from RefSeq and is a predicted model, not a curated record. The transcript has 3 exons. Lineage: Eukaryota; Metazoa; Mollusca; Gastropoda; Lepetellida; Haliotidae.